RNAcentral lists this ribosomal RNA (497 nucleotides) under uncultured bacterium. RNAcentral's name for it is "partial 16S ribosomal RNA". It matches the Rfam family "Bacterial small subunit ribosomal RNA", at positions 28 to 507 of the family's 1533-position model. The record is from RNAcentral.
GAUGAACGCUGGCGGCGUGCCUAAUACAUGCCAGUCGAGCGAACAGACGAGGAGCUUGCUCCUCUGACGUUAGCGGCGGACGGGUGAGUAACACGUGGAUAACCUACCUAUAAGACUGGGAUAACUUCGGGAAACCGGAGCUAAUACCGGAUAAUAUAUUGAACCGCAUGGUUCAAUAGUGAAAGACGGUUUUGCUGUCACUUAUAGAUGGAUCCGCGCCGGAUUAGCUAGUUGGUAAGGUAACGGCUUACCAAGGCGACGAUGCGUAGCCGACCUGAGAGGGUGAUCGGCCACACUGGAACUGAGACACGGUCCAGACUCCUACGGGAGGCAGCAGUAGGGAAUCUUCCGCAAUGGGCGAAAGCCUGACGGAGCAACGCCGCGUGAGUGAUGAAGGUCUUCGGAUCGUAAAACUCUGUUAUUAGGGAAGAACAAAUGUGUAAGUAACUAUGCACGUCUUGACGGUACCUAAUCAGAAAGCCACGGCUAACUACGUG